This 1108-nucleotide long non-coding RNA is filed under the name Numida meleagris (helmeted guineafowl). RNAcentral's name for it is "lncRNA (ENSNMEG00000022921.1)". Lineage: Eukaryota; Metazoa; Chordata; Aves; Galliformes; Numididae. The record is from RNAcentral.
CUCUUGAAAUAGUUUGGAUUACCUUCUUCCCUCUCCUCUUUCAUGCCUUCCUAUGAGAAAAUACACCAGAGGGAACAAGUCUGUAUUGGGAGUGGCUUCCUCUUGGUUUUCAGAGGGUGGCUGUGGGGAAGCAGUAGCUUGAAAUAGAAGAGUCCAUGGUUAACAUGCUGAGGAACUAAUACAGAAUGGAUCUGAGAACACAUUCAGAACCUACUCUCCUGGCAGACUCAACGGACUGGAGCAAACUCUGCAGUGGACUUAGGUCUUUGAUUCCUCUGAAAAAAAAAUGUCAAAAAAUGUAAAUGGAAAGCAAAAUCUACCAGAUUCACUAACAAGUCGGGAUGCCAUCUGCCAAAGUGUCUUCCAGAGUGCUUUUAUUUAUGGCUGACUUUCAAAACUUUGCAAAUGAAGUAGCAUAAUGGAAAUGUUGGCACCACCUUAUCUUUUUCUACACUAAUGCAGAGCCAUAUGAACACACUAGGGAUUCAUGGGUGUAAAACUUUGACCCCGUGGAAGCCCAGCUGGGAAUCAACAAACAUUCUUUUGUCUCAAUUUUUUUCUUAGAACUUCCUUGGGUUUAUUAGUAAUCAACCUCACCAUUAUUUUACCUAUCUGGAAUGAUGUUCAUCCCAAAAUAUACUCAUGACCUGGACACAGUACCCAUUUGUUGUUUUGUUCUAUGAGGAGCAAAAAACGCUAUAGCAGAGGACUUCCACAUCCCAUUUAACAAAUACCAGCUCCUUGAACAGGAAGGUGCAUUAACAAGAAGGUGUAAAAAGUCAUGACAGAGCCAAUGAAGGAAUCUCCAGUGAAAUAUUUUGGAAUGGGUAAGACAUGUAUGUGCAGACAGGGAAAUCACCUUCUGAAAGUGACUUCUCUCCACUCUUUGUAAACAAGCUUGGAAAACUUGCUCAGCCUGCAGUAUCUCCCUCGUAGACAUCUAAGAUUAGGGUAGGAGGAAACACUGAAGAAGUGUGAGAGUUAUACUUUAAUUGUGCUCCGCAAAAUGGGAAAUUAACAACAAUGCCUACUAAGAGCCACAGAAGCAGCCGAAUUAGAUGGAUUAGCUGACAGUUCAUUUCCUCUUUCUCUCUAUGGUGCUUUUAAC